RNAcentral lists this ribosomal RNA (497 nucleotides) under uncultured bacterium. Its description in RNAcentral is "partial 16S ribosomal RNA". It matches the Rfam family "Bacterial small subunit ribosomal RNA", at positions 28 to 507 of the family's 1533-position model. The record is from RNAcentral.
GAUGAACGCUGGCGGCGUGCCUAAUACAUGCAAGUCGAGCGAACAGACGAGGAGCUUGCUCCUCUGACGUUAGCGGCGGACGGGUGAGUAACACGUGGAUAACCUCCCUAUAAGACUGGGAUAACUUCGGGAAACCGGAGCUAAUACCGGAUAAGAUAUUGAACCGCAUGGGUCAAUAGUGAAAGACGGUUUUGCCGUCUCUUAUAGAUGGAUCUGCGCCGCAUUAGCUGGUUGGUAAGGUAACGGGUUACUAAGGCAACGAUGCGUAACCGACCGGAGAGGCGGAUCGGCCACCUAGGAAGGUGGCCACCGUCCUGACUCCUACGGGAGGCGGCAGUCUGCAAUCGUCCGCAAUAGGCGAAAGCCUGACACAGCAACCCCGCGUGUGUGGUAAAAGUCUUCCGAUCGUAAAACUCUGUUAUUAGUGAAGAACAGAUGUGUCAGUAACUAAACACGUCUUGACGGUACCGGAUCAGAAAGCCACGGCUAACUACGUG